This is a non-coding RNA of Cricetulus griseus (Chinese hamster), 256 nucleotides long. Lineage: Eukaryota; Metazoa; Chordata; Mammalia; Rodentia; Cricetidae. The record is from Rfam.
GUGACCUCCUAUCCCAUCCUCUUCCUGCUGGCUUGGAGGGUGUCCCCUUUCUGCCUCACUGCUCCAUGUGUGUCCCUCCAUGUGUGUCUCAUCAAAGAGGACGACCUUCCCCGAAUAGAGGAGGUCUGGUCUUUGGUCAAGGGUAUACGAGUAUCUCCGCUCCCCUGCUAGAUCCUCCAAACAAGCUCUCAAAUAAAUACAUGUUAAAGUAACUGAGGAUUCAGGUGGGUGGACCUAUGCUACCCUGUAGCUACCU